GAGUUUGAUCCUGGCUCAGGACGAACGCUGGCGGCGUGCUUAACACAUGCAAGUCAAGGGGGCCCAGCAGUGGGCAACCGGCGAACGGGUGCGUAACACGUGAGCAACCUUCCGAAAUAUGGGGGAUAGCCGGCCUAACGGCCGAGUAAUACCGCAUACGCUCUCGAUGAGGCAUUUCAUUGAGAGGAAACCUCCGGGGUAUUUCGAGGGGCUCGCGGCCUAUCAGCUAGUUGGCGAGGUAACGGCUCACCAAGGCAACGACGGGUAGCUGGUCUGAGAGGAUGGCCAGCCACAUUGGGACUGAGAUACGGCCCAGACUCCUACGGGAGGCAGCAGUGGGGAAUCUUGCGCAAUGGCCUAACGGCUGACGCAGCGACGCCGCGUGUAGGAUGAAGCUCUUCGGAGUGUAAACUACUGUUGCCCGGGACGAAUAGCUCGAUUAAUCGAGCCUGACAGUACCGGGUGAGGAAGCACCGGCUAACUCCGUGCCAGCCGCCGCAGUAAG
This 505-nucleotide ribosomal RNA is filed under the name uncultured bacterium. RNAcentral describes it as "bacterial SSU rRNA". It matches the Rfam family "Bacterial small subunit ribosomal RNA", at positions 9 to 524 of the family's 1533-position model. The record is from RNAcentral.